GUGCUCGCUUCGGCAGCACAUAUACUAAAAUUGGAACGACAGAGAAGAUUAGCCUGGCCCCUGCGCAAGGAUGACUCGCAAAUUUGUGAAGCGUUCCAUAUUUAA
This 105-nucleotide small nuclear RNA is filed under the name Microtus ochrogaster (prairie vole). The record is from RNAcentral. Lineage: Eukaryota; Metazoa; Chordata; Mammalia; Rodentia; Cricetidae.